RNAcentral lists this ribosomal RNA (700 nucleotides) under uncultured bacterium. RNAcentral describes it as "bacterial SSU rRNA". It matches the Rfam family "Bacterial small subunit ribosomal RNA", at positions 44 to 746 of the family's 1533-position model. The record is from RNAcentral.
AGGCCUAACACAUGCAAGUCGAACGAGAAAGUGAUCUUCGGAUCGCGAGUAGAGUGGCGCACGGGUGAGUAACACGUGGAUAACCUGCCCUAUGAUCUGGGAUAACCCACCGAAAGGAGGGCUAAUACCGGAUAAGCCCACAGAGACUUCGGUCUCAGUGGGAAAAGAUUUAUCGUCAUAGGAUGGGUCCGCGGUCCAUUAGCUAGUUGGUGGGGUAACGGCCUACCAAGGCCACGAUGGAUAGCUGGUCUGAGAGGAUGAUCAGCCACACUGGAACUGAGACACGGUCCAGACUCCUACGGGAGGCAGCAGUGGGGAAUUUUGCGCAAUGGGGGAAACCCUGACGCAGCAACGCCGCGUGAAGGAUGUAGGCCUUUGGGUCGUAAACUUCUGUCAGAGGGGAAGAAAUGCCCGCAAGGGAGCUGACGGUACCCUCAAAGGAAGCACCGGCUAACUCCGUGCCAGCAGCCGCGGUAAUACGGAGGGUGCAAGCGUUGUUCGGAAUUAUUGGGCGUAAAGAGCAUGUAGGCGGUCUGUUAAGUCUGGUGUGAAAGCCCGGGGCUCAACCCCGGAAGUGCAUUGGAUACUGGCCGACUUGAGUAUGGGAGAGGAAGGCGGAAUUCCGAGUGUAGGAGUGAAAUCCGUAGAUAUUCGGAGGAACACCAGUGGCGAAGGCGGCCUUCUGGACCAAUACUGACGC